UACGUAGGGUGCAAGCGUUAAUCGGAAUUACUGGGCGUAAAGCGUGCGCAGGCGGUUGUGCAAGACAGAUGUGAAAUCCCCGGGCUUAACCUGGGAACUGCAUUUGUGACUGCACGGCUAGAGUGUGUCAGAGGGGGGUAGAAUUCCACGUGUAGCAGUGAAAUGCGUAGAGAUGUGGAGGAGUACCGAUGGCGAAGGCAGCCCCCUGGGAUAACACUGACGCUCAUGCACGAAAGCGUGGGGAGCAAACAGG
Molecule: ribosomal RNA, 253 nt
Filed under: uncultured bacterium
Lineage: Bacteria
Description: partial 16S ribosomal RNA
Rfam family: Bacterial small subunit ribosomal RNA
Source: RNAcentral